Molecule: ribosomal RNA, 245 nt
Filed under: uncultured bacterium
Lineage: Bacteria
Description: partial small subunit ribosomal RNA
Rfam family: Bacterial small subunit ribosomal RNA
Source: RNAcentral
AGAAUCAACGCUGGCAGCGUGCCUAACACAUGCAAGUCGAACGAGAAAGUGGAGCAAUCCAUGAGUAAAGUGGCGCACGGGUGAGUAACACGUGACUAACCUACCCUUGAGUGGGGGAUAACCUAGAGAAAUCUGGGCUAAUACCGCAUAAUACCUUCGGGUCAAAGGAGCAAUUCGCUUAAGGAGGGGGUCGCGGCCGAUUAGUUAGUUGGCGGGGUAAUGGCCCACCAAGACUGUGAUCGGUA